RNAcentral lists this ribosomal RNA (1950 nucleotides) under human gut metagenome. Its description in RNAcentral is "bacterial LSU rRNA". It matches the Rfam family "Bacterial large subunit ribosomal RNA", at positions 1 to 1977 of the family's 2925-position model. The record is from RNAcentral.
UUAAGCGACUAAGCGUACACGGUGGAUGCCCUGGCAGUCAGAGGCGAUGAAGGACGUGCUAAUCUGCGAUAAGCGUCGGUAAGGUGAUAUGAACCGUUAUAACCGGCGAUUUCCGAAUGGGGAAACCCAGUGUGUUUCGACACACUAUCAUUAACUGAAUCCAUAGGUUAAUGAGGCGAACCGGGGGAACUGAAACAUCUAAGUACCCCGAGGAAAAGAAAUCAACCGAGAUUCCCCCAGUAGCGGCGAGCGAACGGGGAGCAGCCCAGAGCCUGAAUCAGUGUGUGUGUUAGUGGAAGCGUCUGGAAAGGCGCGCGAUACAGGGUGACAGCCCCGUACACAAAAAUGCACAUAUUGUGAGCUCGAUGAGUAGGGCGGGACACGUGGUAUCCUGUCUGAAUAUGGGGGGACCAUCCUCCAAGGCUAAAUACUCCUGACUGACCGAUAGUGAACCAGUACCGUGAGGGAAAGGCGAAAAGAACCCCGGCGAGGGGAGUGAAAAAGAACCUGAAACCGUGUACGUACAAGCAGUGGGAGCCUCUUUAUGGGGUGACUGCGUACCUUUUGUAUAAUGGGUCAGCGACUUAUAUUCUGUAGCAAGGUUAACCGAAUAGGGGAGCCGAAGGGAAACCGAGUCUUAACUGGGCGUUAAGUUGCAGGGUAUAGACCCGAAACCCGGUGAUCUAGCCAUGGGCAGGUUGAAGGUUGGGUAACACUAACUGGAGGACCGAACCGACUAAUGUUGAAAAAUUAGCGGAUGACUUGUGGCUGGGGGUGAAAGGCCAAUCAAACCGGGAGAUAGCUGGUUCUCCCCGAAAGCUAUUUAGGUAGCGCCUCGUGAAUUCAUCUCCGGGGGUAGAGCACUGUUUCGGCAAGGGGGUCAUCCCGACUUACCAACCCGAUGCAAACUGCGAAUACCGGAGAAUGUUAUCACGGGAGACACACGGCGGGUGCUAACGUCCGUCGUGAAGAGGGAAACAACCCAGACCGCCAGCUAAGGUCCCAAAGUCAUGGUUAAGUGGGAAACGAUGUGGGAAGGCCCAGACAGCCAGGAUGUUGGCUUAGAAGCAGCCAUCAUUUAAAGAAAGCGUAAUAGCUCACUGGUCGAGUCGGCCUGCGCGGAAGAUGUAACGGGGCUAAACCAUGCACCGAAGCUGCGGCAGCGACGCUUAUGCGUUGUUGGGUAGGGGAGCGUUCUGUAAGCCUGUGAAGGUGUGCUGUGAGGCAUGCUGGAGGUAUCAGAAGUGCGAAUGCUGACAUAAGUAACGAUAAAGCGGGUGAAAAGCCCGCUCGCCGGAAGACCAAGGGUUCCUGUCCAACGUUAAUCGGGGCAGGGUGAGUCGACCCCUAAGGCGAGGCCGAAAGGCGUAGUCGAUGGGAAACAGGUUAAUAUUCCUGUACUUGGUGUUACUGCGAAGGGGGGACGGAGAAGGCUAUGUUGGCCGGGCGACGGUUGUCCCGGUUUAAGCGUGUAGGCUGGUUUUCCAGGCAAAUCCGGAAAAUCAAGGCUGAGGCGUGAUGACGAGGCACUACGGUGCUGAAGCAACAAAUGCCCUGCUUCCAGGAAAAGCCUCUAAGCAUCAGGUAACAUCAAAUCGUACCCCAAACCGACACAGGUGGUCAGGUAGAGAAUACCAAGGCGCUUGAGAGAACUCGGGUGAAGGAACUAGGCAAAAUGGUGCCGUAACUUCGGGAGAAGGCACGCUGAUAUGUAGGUGAAGUCCCUCGCGGAUGGAGCUGAAAUCAGUCGAAGAUACCAGCUGGCUGCAACUGUUUAUUAAAAACACAGCACUGUGCAAACACGAAAGUGGACGUAUACGGUGUGACGCCUGCCCGGUGCCGGAAGGUUAAUUGAUGGGGUUAGCGGUAACGCGAAGCUCUUGAUCGAAGCCCCGGUAAACGGCGGCCGUAACUAUAACGGUCCUAAGGUAGCGAAAUUCCUUGUCGGGU